Molecule: long non-coding RNA, 722 nt
Filed under: Helianthus annuus (common sunflower)
Lineage: Eukaryota; Viridiplantae; Streptophyta; Magnoliopsida; Asterales; Asteraceae
Source: RNAcentral
CGUCGCGUCACGCGGCGCCCCCUAUGGACCCCUCGCGUCACGCGAGAGGGUCAAUUUUCAGCUAUAAAUAGCUUGGUUCACAAGCUGUUCGUCUGUGUCAAAACUAAUUCACAAAAGUGAAUUCUCACCACUCAAAAUUCAAAUUUAAGAUAUCGGGGUACUGCUACGAUACCGGGUAUUAACUUGAUCGCUGCUACGAUUCAAUAUCCGAUCAACUGAAACUAUCCAACAGGAUGUUUAAGUGUUAUCCUUUGUCAUUAAUCGUGAUUCCGACAGGAUGUUUGAGUGCCGCCCAAACUCGGGGUGGACUCUGUCAUUCGUUGUGAAUCCGAUGGAUGUUUAAGUGAUUUCAUUUUGUCAUUCGUCGUGAGGGUUUUAGUCUCGUGAAUUUAUCGUAAAUGCUGUAUUAGUUAUUUACCUAGUUUUGUGUGCAUUAUCGCUUAAAUUAGGUUAUCAGGCUUAUCAUUAGACUAAACACUACCCCUUACACUUACAAUCAAAGUAGAUGCUAAUUCUCAAAACAAUCUGAAUCAUGAAGCUUGUCAAUUCAAUACUGCAUGUUUAUAAUGUAAUUACAGUAGAUUGGAGUAAGAAUUGGAUCCGGCACUGAAGGACUUCAAGAAGUGGCUUAUUUUAUUAAUUAAAUCAACUUAAAAAAAAUAUUGUUUUUGGGUUUAUCCCGUAUUAAAAGCUACCUUUGUAAAACAUGGAAUUUAUUCCAU